This 440-nucleotide ribosomal RNA is filed under the name uncultured bacterium. RNAcentral describes it as "partial 16S ribosomal RNA". It matches the Rfam family "Bacterial small subunit ribosomal RNA", at positions 339 to 795 of the family's 1533-position model. The record is from RNAcentral.
CUACGAGUGGCAGCAGUGGGGAAUAUUGGACAAUGGGCGCAAGCCUGAUCCAGCAAUGCCGCGUGAGUGAAGACGGCCUUAGGGUUGUAAAACUCUUCCGCUAGGGAAGAUAAUGACUGUACCUAGUAAAGAAGUCCCGGCUAACUCCGUGCCAGCAGCCGCGGUAAUACGGAGGGGACUAGCGUUGGUUCGGAAUUACUGGGCGUAAAGAGUUCGUAGACGGACUGACAAGUUAGAGGUGAAAUCCCAGGGCUCAACCCUGGAACUGCCUUUAAAACUGUCAGUCUAGAGACCGGAAGAGGUUAGGGGAAUACCUAGUGUAGAGGUGAAAUUCGUAGAUAUUAGGUGGAACACCAGUGGCGAAGGCGCCUAACUGGUCCGGUACUGACGCUGAGGAACGAAAGCGUGGGGAGCAAACAGGAUUAGAUACCCGGGUAGUC